Molecule: long non-coding RNA, 725 nt
Organism: Cucurbita maxima (winter squash)
Lineage: Eukaryota; Viridiplantae; Streptophyta; Magnoliopsida; Cucurbitales; Cucurbitaceae
Exons: 6
Source: RefSeq, a predicted model, not a curated record
UCUGUUAGAGCUGAAAACGGAAGGCGAAACCCGGGAAUUUGUUGCAGAACGAAGAUGUUCAGAGCGCGCUUCGGUCCACAUAUGGGUACUAGAGAGGUCUUAAGUUCCAUGAAACCACCAUGAAUCCAGGGCUCGGAUCACCUCGUUGCCUUUUCUCUUCUUAAACCCGACCCUGUUAAAAGUGAAUGGGGGCAUCAAUCCUGUUCUCCUUAAUAUCACCGCAGUAGUUUUGCUAUUCCAUGAUUUGCUCAACUCACUGUAACAUCCUACUAUGCCUCCUCAAGUGCUUCUCAUGAUGGAGUUUCACUUCUCACUCAAAGAAAUGAAGACACUCGCACUUCUCGAACUUAGCAACAAAGGACUCAAAUGAUUUCACAGGAUUCAAGCUAAUCCCCACUUUCCAUAAGUGUUGCGAAGGAAGGGCCUGGCUGGCUGUCUCCUUUCCAGCACUCGAGGUACCUUAAAAUUCACAAAGUGCGCAGGAGGGAGGGAUGUACAGUAGCACCUCAAAAGUAAGGGGGAGGGCUAUGCUUUUAGGACAAUACAUUGAACCAAAACUCAAAGCAAAUUAUUAUUGGAUUAUUUUUCAUUUGAUUGCUCAAAUGAAAUGAGAUUGUCAGAGGUUUAAGAAAAAGAGAAGAAAAAGUGAAGUAUGGUUGCUCUCAGAAUCAAAGUGAGAAACCACACACACUUGUCCUCAAAAAGUAGGCCAUCGUCCAUAUCUA